RNAcentral lists this ribosomal RNA (793 nucleotides) under uncultured bacterium. RNAcentral describes it as "bacterial SSU rRNA". It matches the Rfam family "Bacterial small subunit ribosomal RNA", at positions 62 to 875 of the family's 1533-position model. The record is from RNAcentral.
UCGAACGCCCUGCGCAAGCAGGGAGUGGCGGACGGGUGAGGAACACAUGGGUCACCUACCUUUCAGUGAGGGAUACCGGCGAGAAAUCGCCGACAAUACCGCAUGAGCUCGGUGGCGGUCUGCCGCCGCCGAGGAAAGUCUUGAGAGAGGCGCUGGAAGCUGGGCCCGUGGCCGAUUAGCUGGUUGGUGGGGUAAGGGCUCACCAAGGCGACGAUCGGUAGCUGGUCUGAGAGGACGAUCAGCCACACUGGGAUUGAGAACGGCCCAGACUCCUACGGGGGGCAGCAGUGAGGAAUUUUCGGCAAUGGGGGCAACCCUGACCGAGCAACGCCGCGUGCAGGACGACGGUCUUCGGAUCGUAAACUGCUUUUCUCGGGGAAGAGCGAGGACGGUACCCGAGGAAUCAGCCCCGGCUAACUACGUGCCAGCAGCCGCGGUAAUACGUAGGGGGCGAGCGUUAUCCGGAGUUACUGGGCGUAAAGCGCACGCAGGCGGUCGGGCAAGUGCGGGGUUACAGCUCCCGGCUCAACUGGGAGAGCGCCUCGAAGACUGCUCGACUUGAGGGCCAAAGAGGGACACGGAACUCCGGGUGUAGUGGUGAAAUGCGUAGAUAUCCGGAAGAACACCAAAGGCGAAGGCAGUGUCCUGGGUGGUACCUGACGCUCAGGUGCGAAAGCUAGGGGAGCGAACGGGAUUAGAUACCCCGGUAGUCCUAGCCGUAAACGAUGACCACCAGGUGUGCGGGGUAUCGACCCCCUGCGUGCCGCAGUUAACGCACUAAGUGGUCCGCCUG